CUCGGCCACACCCACUGCCCUGGCAAUGCCCUCUUCCAGGAGAUCCAGAGCUGGCCUGGCUUCCAGGGGACACCGGUGGCACUCGGGCUCAGGUGAGGAGUGGCCCUGGCUGGAGAGCCUGGGCUGGACAGGGGCAGGGGAAGUUGGACACUGGUCCAGAUAGACACCAGACCAUGGAUCCUACUCUGGAUGGACACUGGUCCAGAUGGACGUUAGAGCCAUGGAUCCCAGCUGUACUCUGGUCUGGAUGGCCCCUGGCCCUGCAGCCCACCAGCUUGGCCAGCCCCAGACCAGAUGACCACCAGCCUAGACAUACCAUGGCCCACCCUACUGGCCCACCAGCCAUCCCAGUAGCCCCCACCCCAAAACCCCCCAGAAUAAACCUAAUUGCAGAACAUUG
Non-coding RNA from Cyanistes caeruleus (blue tit), 400 nucleotides. The record is from RefSeq and is a predicted model, not a curated record. NCBI's taxonomy places the organism in Eukaryota, Metazoa, Chordata, Aves, Passeriformes, Paridae.